GUCCUCGUAGCUCAGUGGAUAGAGCGGCUGCCUCCUAAGCCGCAGGUCGCGCGUUCAAUUCGCGCCGAGGACG
Molecule: transfer RNA, 73 nt
Filed under: Chlamydiota bacterium
Lineage: Bacteria; Pseudomonadati; Chlamydiota
Description: Chlamydiae bacterium (freshwater metagenome) tRNA-Arg
Rfam family: tRNA
About the family: Transfer RNA (tRNA) molecules are approximately 80 nucleotides in length.
Source: RNAcentral